UUAACGACAUGGAAGAAGAGCAAGUAGGUAUCAGAGAUCGAGGUCCAGAGAGUCGGUGGCUGCUGUGAACCGAUCCUCGCCUGAUGCCGAAUGGGCUUCUGAGUCGCUUCGCUGAACCUGGGAGUAGGCGUGGCCGGGAUUCUCUCUCCGUUAUCAUGAGAGGCGUAUCGAAGGAAGAUGCUCCUUCCGUACGCAAGAGUGAAUCGCUGCGGCGAUUAAUGAAGGUGGUACCACGAUAACCUCGUCCUUUGG
This 252-nucleotide non-coding RNA is filed under the name Paenibacillus dendritiformis. Its description in RNAcentral is "T-box sequence". It matches the Rfam family "T-box leader". From Rfam's summary of the family: Uncharged tRNA acts as the effector for transcription antitermination of genes in the T-box leader family. T-boxes are found upstream of many aminoacyl-tRNA synthetase genes and some amino acid biosynthetic genes usually in Gram-positive bacteria. The anticodon of a specific tRNA base pairs to a specifier sequence within the T-box motif, and the NCCA acceptor tail of the tRNA base pairs to a conserved bulge in the T-box antiterminator hairpin. Lineage: Bacteria; Bacillati; Bacillota; Bacilli; Caryophanales; Paenibacillaceae. The record is from RNAcentral.